AAUAUAUCAUAAUUUCGGGAAACUUUCUUUUAUUAAGAAUCAAAAAAAAAUUGUCUUAAAAUAGUAGCAUAAAUAAACUAAAAUCGGUGGAUAAAAAUGUAUAAAGAAAUCGUGUUUAGAAAUAUAAGAAAUAACGAUAAAUCAAAUAAAACCCCAAAGUCCCCGAAAUAACAACAAGACAGCUACUCAAUGAUAACACUGUAUUUUACUCAUUUUAGGUGUAUGUUUAUCAUCAUUUAGCUGUGCAUUUGCUCAUUGUAUCAGAUCAUUUUGCACCAUUUUAGCUUAUUUUGCAUACUUAGGCAUCUAGGAUCAUCUUGCAUUCGCAUUUCAUGUUUUGGUGUGUUUUCAGGUGCAGAAGGAUCUAAAAAGGACUCUACUCGACCUCUUUACUCGAUCCAGGAUGCUCAGAGGAGGCUGCAGUUUACUCGACCCUUUUAUUCGAUCAAGGCAACCUUAGAUGAAGCAGAAGAUUGAUCUACUCGCCCCUCCUACUCGAUCCUCUACUCGACCCAUUUACUCGACCAAGGGUGACCAACUCUACAAGACUUGUUGAGCUAUCAAAGCGUCUUGGGAUCCUCCUCAUUCCCUACUCAACCAGACAUCUGAGCAUACAGAUAGCAGAGGAAGAAGCAUCUACUCGACCAAUUGAUCACUCGGAGCAUAAACACAAAGGCGCAGACUUUGCAGCACCCUCUUUACUCGAUCCCCAAGAUCAAGUAUUCGCCGAAACCGCCUCAAGUCUCUUGUCUUCUAGUGAAUCUAGGGUUUCAACAUUUUACUAUAAAUAGAUAACUUUGGGGUUUGUCCAAAGGAUCUAGUUUUUAUCCUUUAGUUUUUCUUUGUGUUUAUGAAUCUUAAAACCUUAAUUACUCUUAAUCUAUUUCGUUUUUGCAUUUGAUUGUUUA
This 908-nucleotide small RNA is filed under the name Arabidopsis thaliana (thale cress). RNAcentral describes it as "ATSL156820". Lineage: Eukaryota; Viridiplantae; Streptophyta; Magnoliopsida; Brassicales; Brassicaceae. The record is from RNAcentral.